UCAUGUCUAAUUUUUGUAAUCCUAUGAUAGGAAAAAUUGUUAAAAUGAAUCCUGAAUGUUUUGAACAGCAAAAAUAUCAGUUUGAAAAAUGGUUAAAUCUUAACAACAAGUCAAACAGCUCUGUUUUAUCAGAAUGUGAAUAUACUUCCAUUAUCAAAUAUUUGAAAGAUAAAAAUGAUGGAAAAACUGGAUAUAUUACUUCACGGAAUAUUCAACGAAGAAUCAAGUCAAACAAGUUUAAACUAAUUGAUUACCCACCCUUAGGUUUAAAAGAUAUUUUAUGUGCUCCAACUAAAUGUAAUACAGAGAAUAAUUUGCGAGAAUCAUCGCCAUUUGGAAACUACAGUCGUGUAGCGAGUACUAAAGAUGUUUUUUUUUGCUAUUAAUAUUGCACAUUGCCAGAAUGGUCUGCAUCUUGGGGCUUUAAAAACUUAUAAGAAGAUUAUUGAGGGUUAUGCAAACAUCGCAAGAAAAACUGUUGAAAUUUUUAUCAGUUUCUGCCCAACUUGCAAUUUAAAUAAAAGGCAGUUAAAAAAGCAUCAUUACAACCAAUAAUUUCUACUGGUUUUUUGCAACGUCUUCAAAUUGAUUUGAUUGCAAUGGAAUCUAAGCCAGAUAAGGAAUUCAGAUAUAUUGGUCAUGUUGUUGAUCAUUUCAGUAAGUUUCAUAUUUUGUUUCCUGGGAGAUUCCAUGUGAAAACAUCCAAUUUUUUUUGAAAAUGCAACCAUAAGUCUCAGAUUUUGCUGAUUUUUAAACCACUUAAAGAUUUUAGUAAAUUAUGAACAUCCUGAAAAUUUUAUCGUUUAAUUUAAAUCGGUUCCUAAGAUACAGCUAUUUUAAGUUU
Non-coding RNA from Hydra vulgaris (swiftwater hydra), 844 nucleotides. The record is from RefSeq and is a predicted model, not a curated record. NCBI's taxonomy places the organism in Eukaryota, Metazoa, Cnidaria, Hydrozoa, Anthoathecata, Hydridae.